RNAcentral lists this long non-coding RNA (731 nucleotides) under Olea europaea subsp. europaea. Lineage: Eukaryota; Viridiplantae; Streptophyta; Magnoliopsida; Lamiales; Oleaceae. The record is from RNAcentral.
AUUUGCUAUUUAAUUCUAUAAUAAAACAAAUAAACUAAUAUACCAAAUAAAAAUAAAAUAAACUGCUAUUCAUCUUCUUCCCCCCCCCCUCCACCCCACUGCUGCUGCAAUUUUCCCAUCGCGCUUUCUUGCCGACGACUAACCACACCCACAAUAGCCGUCGUUCUCACCACAACUCAAAUGGAUAUGAUAAUAAAUGAAAGUUCUCUCGCCAAAUCUUGAAAAUUAUUGUUGUUACACAGAGGGAUAAGAUGAGAGAACAUACGAUGUCGUCGAGCUGCAAGCAAACGGCGUUCGAGGAGCUCUCGAAUCGAAGGACAGGUAUUGUCAAUGGUGUCUCUGAUUAUGGCGUCCACUUCUUGCUUCUUCCUCAAUGUCGGGAGUAAAUAUUCCCUCUCUCUAUGGCUAUUUUGGGCUACGCAAUUGAUUACUCGUUUAAUUGUUUUACAGAUUGAAUUGAGAUUACUGGGAAGGUGGGUAUUUCGAUAAUUUGAGCUCCAAUUCAUAUGUGAAUAGUUCUGAUUAUAUGCCUCUUUUUCGCUAUAAGUACCCAGGUGCGGAGGUGGUGCUGGUUUCGAUUUCGAGGCGAAGUGGCGCUCACAUUGAUUUCGAUUUCUUAUUUUGAUUCCAUUUAGCAGUGAAUAAGAGAGUAGCCGAGGUGGUGGAGGUUGUGGAAUUGAUGGGGGCUGACGGAUUUGGGCGGAGAUGGGCAGCCGGGGUUGGUUAGUCGA